UCUACCUGAAACGAUUAAACCAAACAUCUCGCAUAAUUUCGCGAAACACGCGAACGAGAAGCCGAUCGUUACAAGCAUCUACGUGCGCGAGAAUCUUCGAAAGACUCGCGAUGGUAAAUAUUCGUUUGAAUUCAACAGUUUGCCGUUAUCUGUUGCAAGAUCGCGUUGUUAUCUCGCGAAAGGCUAAUUAUCGUCUCGCGAAUUUCCUCAUUCAGAAAUAGACACGUGAAAUUGCACUCGAAAAUGCAUGCAAAUAAUUGACUUGUGAAUUAUAACAGUGCAAACGACGAAGUCGAAAACAUGCAGGAAUUGAAGUUCAUCCGACUUUAUCGUGAUAUUUGGAUAUACGUAUGUACAAUAUAGAAAGAUCAAAUCCACUGAAAUCUUUUCUGUUUGCUUCUAUUUGAAUACUUAUUGGCGUACACUGCAUGCUGCAACUUAAACAUGCGUCGGAUACAAUCGAGAAUAGAUUUGAGAGAGUGGGUCUUCUUCUCUAACAGAGCCGUCGUCGUUCCUAAGGAGAGAUCUAUCUAAGACGGCUCCGAGGGUUCCGUGCAGCCCCCUUUUAUACUCUUACUCACAGUAGCGUACAGAGGGAAACAAACGAAGCCAUGCAUCGGAACUUGGCAUUACUCUUAAUUACUACCGUACUCCACAGAGCCUCGAAGAACGGUGGGUCGUUGGUAAUAAAAGCAGUAUUUCGGUUAGCAUCGUUCGAGCUGGAAGACGAAAAACAAAAAGAAAAAAAAAAAAAAAAGAGAAGGAAGUGAAAUUUGCAUUCGGCUGAGAACGAGCAGGUAUCGCAUGGAAGAGUAGCCUUCGUGACUCGGAAGAGCGCA
Molecule: long non-coding RNA, 839 nt
Organism: Frieseomelitta varia
Lineage: Eukaryota; Metazoa; Arthropoda; Insecta; Hymenoptera; Apidae
Exons: 3
Source: RefSeq, a predicted model, not a curated record